Molecule: long non-coding RNA, 885 nt
Organism: Mastomys coucha (southern multimammate mouse)
Lineage: Eukaryota; Metazoa; Chordata; Mammalia; Rodentia; Muridae
Exons: 3
Source: RefSeq, a predicted model, not a curated record
AUCAGAUGCUAACAUCAGAAUGGAUGGGUAGGGGAGGUGUGUGGAGAGUGCAGACUCUUGGGCAACGCUGCAAAGAACAAUUAAAUAAUUGGAAAACAAAACCUUCAGGGAAGGGUUAAAGGAAAGGAGCUAUUUUGCCCGGAGAAGAGAAGGCUGAGCGAUGACCUAAUUAUAGGCUUCAAGUACAUGAAGAAUUAAUCUACAGCAGAUGGUGACCAGCUGUUUUCAAUUCCCAUUGAAUACAGUACAAGAGAAAAUUGGCUUAGAGAGUAAUAGAAAGGAUUUGAGAUAGAUAAAAGAAGGAAUUUACUGGGUUUUGAGGGUCAUAGAGGUUAAGAGGAGAUAGGCUCUGCUGCUUAGGGAGGUGAGAGCCACUCCUUCCCUGAGGUCUCCCCGGCAUGGAUUGGUUUGUUCAACUGCACUGAGGGAGAAAGAGCUCUGUUCUGUUAUGGAGAGGGCCAGUCUGGGUGUGUGGCUGGCUGUUCCUGACACCUGAGUCUUUCUUUUCCUCACUUGGACUUGUGUGGUUUAUUUUCCACAAGUCAUUAUCAGCACACUAAGCGGCAUUCGCCAGGUGACAGAUGUACGAUGAACAGAAUGAAAGAAAACAACAGAGGUUCCACUUCUCACCUUCCCAGUCGGCUUUGGCAGUGGGGAUCAAGCUGGAGUCCAGGCUAUUGUCCAAGCCUGUAAGCGCAUGGGAGGCAGCCAGCAGAGGGAGCUGCUGAGAGGAGAAGGCCUUGGAAGUGUGGCAAUCUCUGACGCCAUGAAUCAGGAAAAGCCAAGUUCAAACAAUCUUUCGAACUUCUGGAUUCUUUUGCACGGUCCCCAGAGUGAGUAAUUUUUUGGAUGCCAAAGCAAAGCAAAAAUAAAUUCUUUAGCCUA